UACGUAGGUGGCAAGCGUUGUCCGGAAUUAUUGGGCGUAAAGCGCGCGCAGGUGGUUUCUUAAGUCUGAUGUGAAAGCCCACGGCUCAACCGUGGAGGGUCAUUGGAAACUGGGGAACUUGAGUGCAGGAGAGAAGAGUGGAAUUCCACGUGUAGCGGUGAAAUGCGUAGAGAUGUGGAGGAACACCAGUGGCGAAGGCGGUGGUCUGGGCCGGUACUGACGCUGAGGAGCGAAAGCGUGGGGAGCGAACAGG
Molecule: ribosomal RNA, 253 nt
Filed under: uncultured bacterium
Lineage: Bacteria
Description: partial 16S ribosomal RNA
Rfam family: Bacterial small subunit ribosomal RNA
Source: RNAcentral